Molecule: non-coding RNA, 1424 nt
Organism: Cyanistes caeruleus (blue tit)
Lineage: Eukaryota; Metazoa; Chordata; Aves; Passeriformes; Paridae
Source: RefSeq, a predicted model, not a curated record
UUAAUGAUAAUGAUAUUAUUAAAGUAAAACUCUGCAGACCUGAUGGAAUUCAGAAAAUGCACAAGCUCUGAUUAAUAUUCUAAACAGAUCCAGCCUUUUCUAGGAACUCAGUAGCAGUCUAAGAUCAAGGAUUCACCUGGUUUCUUUUUAGAGAAAAACCUGAAAACUGGAAUGAAGUUUUAUUGGAAGUUGUACACCUUCAUUAUCAGUACCUGGCAAAUGAGUAGUGGAGUGACAGAAGCCUGAAGUGUCCCUCUACAAGGAAGGAGUCAAUCAAAAGCUGAUAUGAAGCUGUAACAUCCUUCCUGGAAAUGGGAACCUUUCCACCAGAGUGGUGAUGGAUCAUCAGACUCACUCUAUCAAACAGAAAACUUAAUUUGCAAUAACUGAGGCUCAGGUAUGAUGCAAGACCACUUGUAUUCACCUAGCAAUGACCGACUCUAUAGAAACUGUCAGCAGAGGUCCCUAUGGUCUGCUGAAACCUGGAGCUUCCCUUUUCUUUCUGGGAUAUGAUGGACAUAAAUAUAAGUUAAUAGUAAAAGAUGAAGCACAUUGAAGAGUGGAGAGCAGUGUAUGAUUGUGAAGGUGAAUGAAUAUUGAAUUGCUCUACAUUGAAGCAGUUAGGAACAUUAAUUACUCUGGAUUUUAAGUAUUAGAAGGGGAACAUGCACUAUACAUGUACUUCUAGGAUGUGUGCCUGAGAAAUUAGCAUAUAUCUGCAUAACCCUAAAAAACCACUAUAGAUUCAGAACCAUUCCUGAAGCUUGCCUAGUUUGUGUUUUGCUUUGCUAGGCACAUAGAAAAGAUAGGAUUUUCUCUUCUCCUUCCCAGGCAAAGUGGGUUCCAAAGUGGUUCAAAUCCUGGUAAUCCAGCCUGAAGAAUGAAAUAUUCUUGAAAAGACAGGGUAUGCUGUCUGAAGAACAGAUCUCUGCCAGGGCUGCUGCUCUUACAGGCACAUCCAGACUGGCUGUAAAUGAGGUUGUUCAGGCAGUGAUGUAGCCACAGCAGCUCAGAGCUGCACAGGGCACGCUGUUUACCCUGUUUUUCAGCCAUGGAACAACAUUCACAUCAGUGAAUGCAGUGGAGACAUACCCAGAAUAAGAAUGUGAUUUAUUCUUUCAAUGUGAGAAGCAGCUAUAUGUUCAACAAAGGCUUUCCUUAGACUAAUGGCCAAAGUAGGCCCCAGUGCAGCUCCUCUAUAGACUGAGAAGAAAGGAUUGUUUGUUGAGGCCCAACUGUCCCCAAAAACCAGUCUGCUGAGUGGAUUCCGUCAUGUAUGAGUUCUCUGCUCGCUUCAUUGUCACGGGUGUUUCCGCAAGCCUGCCAUGCACGGCAUAACUGGGGAAUUUACUGCAGCAGUUGCUGAUAGAGCAAAUAAUUCAAAGUCCUGUCACAGCUUGGAAAGAACAGAAGACUACUACAGA